GUACUCACUUUUACAGCACACAUUCUAAAAUUAGAAUGCUAUUGCAAAUAUUAGCAUGGCCUCUGUGCAAGGAUGACAUGCAAAUUAAUGAAUCAUUCCAUGUUUUU
Molecule: small nuclear RNA, 107 nt
Organism: Mastomys coucha (southern multimammate mouse)
Lineage: Eukaryota; Metazoa; Chordata; Mammalia; Rodentia; Muridae
Source: RefSeq, a predicted model, not a curated record